Molecule: unclassified non-coding RNA, 227 nt
Filed under: uncultured Russula
Lineage: Eukaryota; Fungi; Basidiomycota; Agaricomycetes; Russulales; Russulaceae
Description: sequence contains ITS2
Source: RNAcentral
AAUUCUCAAACCUUCUUGGUUUCUUGACCAAGAUGGCUUUGGACUUUGGAGGCGUCUUGCCGGCUUUGCUGAAAGGUCGGCUCCUCUUAAAUGCAUUAGUGGGGUCCUCUUUGCCGAUCCUCGGGCGUGAUAAGAUGCUUCUACGCCUCGGGAUUUGCUCUGUUUCUCGGGAACCUGCUUCCAACCGUCUCGCGAGAGACAUCGUUCGAGUUCACUCGACGCACGAA